This 235-nucleotide ribosomal RNA is filed under the name uncultured eukaryote. Its description in RNAcentral is "partial 18S ribosomal RNA". It matches the Rfam family "Eukaryotic small subunit ribosomal RNA", at positions 619 to 858 of the family's 1831-position model. The record is from RNAcentral.
UUAAAAAGCUCGUAGUUGGAUUUCGGCGGGUAGUGGUUGGUUUGAAUUGAUUCACACUGACUUUUUUACCCGUGUGUUUUGCCAGAAUCUUACGGGUGAUCUUUACCGAUUGUCCGUUGGAACUGGCAGGUUUACUUUGAAAAAAUUAGAGUGCUCAAGCAAGCUUACUGCUUGAAUAGUUGCGCAUGGAAUAAUAGAAUAGGAAGUCGUUUCUAUUUUGUUGGUUUUCGGAAAU